Molecule: long non-coding RNA, 233 nt
Organism: Cyprinus carpio (common carp)
Lineage: Eukaryota; Metazoa; Chordata; Actinopteri; Cypriniformes; Cyprinidae
Exons: 3
Source: RefSeq, a predicted model, not a curated record
AUAAAAUAAAAAACCGUUUAACACCUAACUGUUAUAUGACACAUUCUAAAUCUGGCAGUGGGUAUAUAAGCUCACACACAGCGUACUCACACCUCACUCACUCAGUGGACAUCCCAACUGGACAUCCCAACUGUCAGUUUCUCUGAGACCCUGCCCUACAGACAGACUAGCACGAUGUCAUCUCAGAAGGUGCUUGUGCCCAAACAAUUUCCGAAACACACAGAAAAGGAAAU